This 659-nucleotide ribosomal RNA is filed under the name uncultured bacterium. RNAcentral's name for it is "bacterial SSU rRNA". It matches the Rfam family "Bacterial small subunit ribosomal RNA", at positions 9 to 669 of the family's 1533-position model. The record is from RNAcentral.
GAGUUUGAUCAUGGCUCAGGAUGAACGCUAGCGGCAGGCUUAACACAUGCAAGUCGAGGGGUAUAGUUCUUCGGAACUAGAGACCGGCGCACGGGUGCGUAACGCGUAUGCAAUCUACCUUUUACAGAGGGAUAGCCCAGAGAAAUUUGGAUUAAUACCUCAUAGUAUUACGACCUGGCAUCAGGAUGUAAUUAAAGUCACAACGGUAAAAGAUGAGCAUGCGUCCCAUUAGCUAGUUGGUAAGGUAACGGCUUACCAAGGCAACGAUGGGUAGGGGUCCUGAGAGGGAGAUCCCCCACACUGGUACUGAGACACGGACCAGACUCCUACGGGAGGCAGCAGUGAGGAAUAUUGGACAAUGGGCGCAAGCCUGAUCCAGCCAUGCCGCGUGCAGGAUGACGGUCCUAUGGAUUGUAAACUGCUUUUGCACAGGAAGAAACACUCGGACGUGUCCGAGCUUGACGGUACUGUGAGAAUAAGGAUCGGCUAACUCCGUGCCAGCAGCCGCGGUAAUACGGAGGAUCCAAGCGUUAUCCGGAAUCAUUGGGUUUAAAGGGUCCGUAGGCGGUCAGAUAAGUCAGUGGUGAAAGCCCAUCGCUCAACGGUGGAACGGCCAUUGAUACUGUCUGACUUGAGUUAUUAGGAAGUAACUAGAAUAU